UACGUAGGGUGCGAGCGUUGUCCGGAAUUACUGGGCGUAAAGAGCUCGUAGGUGGUUUGUCGCGUCGUCUGUGAAAUCCCGGGGCUUAACUUCGGGCGUGCAGGCGAUACGGGCAAUACUUGAGUGCUGUAGGGGAGACUGGAAUUCCUGGUGUAGCGGUGAAAUGCGCAGAUAUCAGGAGGAACACCAAUGGCGAAGGCAGGUCUCUGGGCAGUUACUGACGCUGAGGAGCGAAAGCAUGGGUAGCGAACAGGAUUAGA
This 260-nucleotide ribosomal RNA is filed under the name uncultured prokaryote. RNAcentral's name for it is "partial 16S ribosomal RNA". It matches the Rfam family "Bacterial small subunit ribosomal RNA", at positions 524 to 782 of the family's 1533-position model. The record is from RNAcentral.